RNAcentral lists this ribosomal RNA (253 nucleotides) under uncultured bacterium. Its description in RNAcentral is "partial 16S ribosomal RNA". It matches the Rfam family "Bacterial small subunit ribosomal RNA", at positions 524 to 776 of the family's 1533-position model. The record is from RNAcentral.
UACGAAGGGGGCUAGCGUUGCUCGGAAUCACUGGGCGUAAAGGGUGCGUAGGCGGGUCUUUAAGUCAGGGGUGAAAUCCUGGAGCUCAACUCCAGAACUGCCUUUGAUACUGAAGAUCUUGAGUUCGGGAGAGGUGAGUGGAACUGCGAGUGUAGAGGUGAAAUUCGUAGAUAUUCGCAAGAACACCAGUGGCGAAGGCGGCUCACUGGACCGACAUUGACGCUGAGGAGCGAAAGCCAGGGGAGCAAACGGG